AUUAAGGUACAAUUUACACAUUUCUAACUUUGAAGCACAAUAUUUCCAAAUGAAUUUUCUUCAACCCAACAAUGGCAAUACAUAACCAAAAUGUCAAGACAUUUCUCACCAUUACCAAAACAUAGUGCCAAAGCCUAAAUUGCACAAAAUCUUCAACUAAAAUCACAAAACCCUUUAUUUUUCAAAGACCCAACAAAUGGCAGUACACAAUCAAAACACAAACCCUAAUUUCCUUCAACCCAACAAAAAAAUUUACCUCUUUGAAGUUAUCGCACUCAAAGAAUUUUCUCCCUUUGUUCCGUGGAGUAUUCGCAUUGCAAAUGGAAGCCUUUAACCCCCAAUGGUAGUAUAAAAAAGUUGAAUAAGACAUUUAUGAAUAGAUAAACCCUAAGAGAAUCCCUAAUACAAAGUUAACAAAAAUAAUGAACAUAUGAAAAACUUAGAAAAUGAAAGAUGUAGAAAACGAUGAAAAAACAAUGGAAAAUUUAGAAAUAUGGUGCAAGGAGAAAAAUUAAAUGGAAAGUUUUUUAAGGGAUUUUUUUAAAGGAAAUUUAAUUAAAGGAGUCCAGUCACUUGCCAAUAGGAUGCCACGUGGCAUCGUGCCAUUGGCCAAUGCUACCAUAUCAUAAAAAAACUAAGGGCAUUAGACUCAAAUAUCAAUUUAGUUGAUGAAAAAAAAUUGAAUACCAAUUUGGGAUAAAAAAAAAAACUUUAAGUACCAAUUUAAGAUAAAUAAACAAAUUCAAGUAACAAUUAUAUAUUUUUCCCUAAAAUAUAUAACAUAUGAACACUUAUCAAAACCUAUGAUAACUUGAAACCAAACUAACCCGAAUUUAAAAAUAACCCUGUAAUUAGCCAAUUUUGGCCUAAGCCCAAAGCAAGAAUAAGACGAAAGCAAUAAAACCCAAAUAAACAAAUAAACAAAAAAAAGAAAAGAAAAAGAGAGAGUCUACAUUUAAAGUCCAAAAUUACAAAUUAAAACCCAUUACAUGUUGAAAUCCAAACCCAAACAGCCCAUUACAUCAAACCCUAGCCCAAAUCCUAGCCUAUUAUCCUAAAUUUUUUUCAGCAAACUAACCCUAGGGCUAGUCCCUAUUGCGGCCGCCGCUCCCACCAUUGGCCUCCCCACGCAUGCUCAGCCACCUCACGCGCCAACCACUGUUCACCCACGCCUCUGACACCUGCAGAAGAAGUAAAUGCAACAAAGACAAGGAAGAAAACGACAAAAAAAAGGAUUGAAUCGUCUUGUAAACGGCUUUAAAAGCCACAAUCUCACCCUUGUAAAUUUUUUACAAACACUUACGAACAUUUUACGAGAAUAUAUAAAAAAGCAGAACAAUUUUUAGGUGAUUUUUCGCUUAAGUUUCCGUUUUAUUUUUAUUUCAUUGGUUAUUUUUAUUUUUUGUUUUUUGUUUUGCAUUCGAAAAUAAGUAAAGAAACCUCACCUGAAUCUCCACGGACGUGAAGUCGGAAAGCUUUCUCCGUCGUUGCAAUCGGGUUCGAAAGGGGGGCGAGGGUUCUCUUCUUUUGUUUCUUAUAGGACGCUGAAGGUUUGGCCUUCAAAGGGGCUUUGAAAUGGGGUUGGAAUGCCCAUUUUUGCGCGUAGCCGGCCACCGAAUGCAGUGGUGGUGCGGCGGGCAGCGAGAGAACCCGAUCAUCAGAAGAAGAUGAGAGGGAGAGAGAGUUGGAAAGGCUCUUUAGUUUUUUUCUUUUUUUUUUUAGUUUAGGGUUAAUUUGAGUUUUUUUUUUUAAAGUUUGGGCCUUUGAUUCAACAUUUAAACAGUGUCAUUUGGUGGGGUGGGGAUCCGCGCAUUGACCUGACCCGCAUGUCAGGUCCACCCGUUUUCGUUUUAAAGGGGCGAUUUGCGUAAAUGGUCCCUCCUUCUUUCCUGCACCAUUCGAUUAAGUCCCAUUCCAUUUUCUUUGUCUUCUAAUUUUACCCUAAAAUUUGCGCGUCAUUUCAUUUUGGCCCAGGAUGAAGCACAGCUCAUUGAGGGGUCUGGGGUAUUUUUCCUUUUGCCCCCUUUAUUUUUGGUUUGUUGCGAAUUGGUCCAUCAUUUCAUUUUCGUUACUUAGGAUUUAUACCCGAAACUCUAAUCUAUUUUCAAUCGCAUCCUAAACCUAUUUUAUUCAUUUUCUUUUUAAAAACUGUUUAUUAUGUUAUUUUAAAAUAUUUUAUAUAUAAUUUACAUCGGAUUAUUUUUAUAUAUAUUUAUUUUAACUUGUUUUAUGUACUUUUAUUCGAAAUUGUUUUAUUAUAUAUUUUAAAUUGCCUUAUAUAUAUUUAUUUAUUUCUAAAUUAUUUUAUAUAUAUUAUUUAUUUUAGAUUCUUUCCCCAUAUUAUAUACAUAUUGCUUUUCAAAUUUUUAUAUAUAUAUCAUUCUUUUUAAAACUGUUUUGUACGCCAUUUAUUUUAAAUUUCUUUUUACAUAUUAUUUUAAACUUUUAGUAUAUAAAUUUUAAACUAACUUAUAUUACUUAUUUUAAAUUAUUUCAUAUGCCUUAUUUUAAACUCUUUUCAUUUAUUUUAAAUUUUAUUAUUAUUAUUUACUUUAAUAUUCUUUAUAAUAUUUAUUUUACACUUUUAUAUUUAUAUAUUAUCUAUUUUAAAAUUAUAUAUAUAAUCUAUUUUUAAAUCAUUUUAUACAUAGUUGAUUUUAUUUUUUUUACAUUAUUUUGAACUCAUUUAUUACCAUUUUCAAAAUCGUUUUACAUUUUAUUUAUUUUAAUUUAGUUUAUACUUUUUAUUUUUAAGAUUGAUAUAUAUAUGAUAUUUGUUUCAUUACUUUCUAAUUAUUAAUGUUAAUAUUUAAAUAAUGUAUGUUGUGUGAUUAUUUUUAUUGUGUAUUUUAAUUCGUUGAUUUCGUAUUUUUUGUAUUUUUGUUGUUCACUUGUAUAAUAUUGUAUUCAUGUAUCAUUGUUCUAUACUCAUCACUAUUUUUCUUUUUUUGUGCCAUCGCAUUGUGAAUUAACCCAACGUAUUUAUCCAACUUGGAUCGCUUGAUUUUAUUCCAAACAAAAUAAAUGUACGUUGUUAAAUAUUAAACUUAAAAAGAAAAUUUUCUAAAUAAGGUAAUAUUUCGCGUUUUAAGAAAUUCGAGGAAUCAUGCCCUAACUUACGGGGUUUCGGUUUUCUCGUUAAACCCAAAUAGCCUAAUAUCCUUUCAAGUUCCAAAAUGUAUGAAAUUUCAAUUAAAAUUAAAGACAAACUUGCGCUCGGGAGUUCAAGGUAUCGCGUCUUAAUUUAAGGGAUGUGAUACUUUGAUAUCUCGAGACAAGGAAAUCUUUAGCAAUUGUUUUGAUCUAAUUCAAGCGCUUUUAAAAUCGACGUUAAUAAUAAUAAAAAGAUAGUAUUUUAUAUUCGUUUCCAAUUUUUAACUUUCGACAUUAAGACACUAACUAAUCGAUUCAAUACCAAUUUUGGGUGUGACGAGAGUGCUAAUCCUUUCUCACACAUAACCGACUCCCGAAUCCGUUCUCUCGAGUUUCGUAAACUAAAAACACCGUUUUAGUAAACUAAAACAUUUUAUUAAAACAAAGGUGAUCCGAUCACAUCUAAUAAAAAUCGAUGGCGACUCCCGUUUUAAUUUUUAUUUUCAAACAAAGUCGAUUUCCGUUUUCAAAAAUGGUUUCGACAAACCCGAUUUGAGCUCCACCAAACCCAUCCCUUUACCACCUCUAUUCGAGAUGGACGAAAUAUUAAAAAAGUUUUAAACUGGAAUUUUUUCAUUCUCUUUCUUUGUCCAUAUAUAUUAUAUUUAUAAAUAUAAUCCAACAAAAAGUGUUCUAAGCUAUGCGGGAUUCUAUUUCUUAGAUGGCAAAUAAUUCUCAUUAAACACUGGAAAUUUCACAUGUGAAUUUUUUUAUUUUAGAUUUAAGUAGGAUAAAUUGGCUAAAAGAUUAAGUAUUUAUUUUUAUUUACUCACUUUUAAAAAUUUAAUUAAAAUAAUUUUUUUCAAAUAAAUUAAUUUAUUCAAUUUUUAAAUUAAAAAACAUAAAAAAUCAAUUUACAAAAUAUCUUCAUAGUAAAAAAAAAAAAAUCAUGCAAACAUGUCAUUUCACCAAUACCUUUAAAAAUGACAUCUAGCUUUAAAGUUUAAACGUAAUAAGUUGAAAUUACAGCAGCAAUUAUAACAUAAUUAACAUGGAAAAUUUUCCUCUUUUUUCUCCAAUGGGCUGCUUGGCUUUUUUUCCUUUUCCUUUCUUUGUAAAACAAUUCACAUAUUGAGCUGCUAUACUCUUUUAUAAUUAUUCUUACAUGCUUGUCAUGUAUUUUUUUUAUAUUUAUAUCUUUUAUCAAUUUAAUUUUUUUUUUCAGCUAAAUUUUAUUAUUAAUUUAUAAAAAAGAGUUAAAUCGUCCUUUUUUAACAGAAUGCUAAUUAAAAUAUUAAAUUUUUAACGAUGUUAAUGUGUGAACUUGUGUGGUAGUCCAAAAAUACUGCAUAUUGACAUGACAUUAUUUAUUUUAUAUGAUACUUUAACAAAUAUUUUUAAAAUUAUAAAAAAUAAAAAAAUAAUUUAAUAUUUUAGUUAAAAAUUUUUGUUAAAAAAUAGUAAUUCAAUUUUUUUUUAAAAAUUAAGAGAUAUUUUUGUUUGACUAACAGUAUGCAUAUAAUAUUAAACAAGUAGAGAGGGUUGUGAGUAGUAGAGCUUCAACAUUGAAAAAUGAGAAACCCACAUUGAUGCAUUUUUCACAUGAAUAAAAAGGUUGUUGGAUAUUACUUUUCGUUUAUUCAAAUUCAAUUUGACAAUUAAUUCAACAUUCAAUUCAGCAGACUUACUGUUUUUCUGCUUCAUUUCAUUUCAUACAUACUCUCUUUUUUACUCACUUCCCCUUUCCAUAUAUUUUUAACCUAAUAAUACUUUUCAAAAUUAUUUAAUAAUUAGAAACCAGUAUUUUGUUUAUGUGUCAAUGGUAUAUUAAUAUUAUAUUAAUAUUAUUUAUUAGGCAUUUAUGAUUAGCGACUCAAAAAUUAGAUAAGGUCCGAGUCGUCUAUUCACGAUUUAGAUAGGACCCACCAUUCGGGUACAUACAAGCCUUACGAUAUGAAGCUCGUAAAGGGUGUUUGCAAGGGAGUGUCUAUCAGGCAACCUGGAGCAAUACACAUGUCCAACAUGUAUAGAGUCUAUUAAGAACGUCAAUUCUAUGAAUAGUAGCCAUACAUAUAAAUAUUUAAUUGUUCUCUCUAAUGAGACAACGAAAAAUUAAUCAAUAUUAUUAAUAUUCAGUUGUAAAUGAGAAAUAUUAAUUUUAAGUUCAUUUUAAACUUGUGAUGGAUUUAUAAGCAUUUGAAUAUUUUCUUUUGUCAAAUUUGUGUUGCUAAAAUUUUCUUAGUCAUUAAUUUUCUCAAUAUAAAUUUCUUCAUUCAACUUAUUUUUGUAAAAUUUUACAUACUAAAAAAAUCAAUUCCUAAACUCAAAUUGUAAUCAGUUUUUUUUUUCUUACUUCUCUUUUGCUUUUUUUUUUCAAAUUAAGAAAUAAAACUACUUUUUAAAGUCCAUAGUAUUUUAAAUAUGAUGGCCACCACUUGACCAAACUAACAAAGAGUUCAUAUGAUAAUUGAAAGUAGUUGAGAUAUUUUGGAUUCUCUUUUAAUUACUACAAAAUGGUUAUUAUAGAAAUAAAAUCAAUUACCAAAUUAAUUUAAGCCAACUUUUUUUUAUGUUUUGAGAUCUUAAUUAAAAAUUAAUUAAAAUGGGUUUGAUAAUACGAAAGUCUUAAGUCUUGAGUAUCUAAAUUCGAGAUUUAUUAUGUACAAUAUGUGUAGGUCUCCGAAUUCUAUCAUGUAUGAGAUUUUUAGUUUGGUUAGUUUUAGUUUAUUGGAUUGUAUAAAUUUUUAGUUUAUUUGUGCCAUAAUAAUUUGAUACUAAUGGUUGCUUAGACUUGUAUUUAUAAUUUUUUGAUAAUUUAAGUUUAAACAUUAUUCUAUUUAAAUAUACGUGUGCAUUUGUUAUUCGAAUGCAAGCUAUUUGUAAUUGUAAUUGUAAUAGUAAAAAGGAAAUAAAGUAUUCUGCCAAAUCCUCUCCUAUUCUUUAUUUUUAUAUCUCGUCAUGAAAUUGUAUCAUUACAAAGGGACUUGAAUUCAAAAGCAGCCCUUUUGAUUCUGUGUGUGUAGAGAAUAUAAUUAAUAAAUCAAUUUUAGAACAAAAUUAAAUUAAAAAAAAAAAAGUAGGUGUCCAAGAAUCUUCAAACUCUGUGACAGCUGCUGCUACAAUCUUUUACCAAAAUUUUAAAUCCAAUAAUUUACCUACAACUUCAUGUCAAUAAAAUUAUUAACCCCAUUUUCAAUUUACUCCCAAAAUUACCAUUAAUUUUUUAAAAAAAUGUUUUGAUACAUUAAGCAUACUUUUAAUUUUUUAACAAAAAUUAUGAUUUACAAAAAAAUAUAUUUAACAAUAGAAUUUAAAUUAAAACUUGAUUGAUAAUAUAUUUGUGUUUUGAAAUAUUCUUAGCAAAAAGCAUAGACCUAACUUUCCCUUUUGGUUCUUAUUAUAAAAAGUCUAGAUUUAGAUGAUGGUCACAUUACCCCCACAUGUCACUCUUUUUUUUGAAUUGGGAGCUAACAGCUUAAUCUCCUUUUACGUGCCCUUUUGACCCACCAAACACUCUUUAUAAGUUUUAUGCCAUGGUUUUACUCUCUCUUUUUUUUUUCAUUUACUUAAACUAGAAGCCUCCACACAUUCAAAGAUUUUGAAAUAGACAAAAGAGCAAAAGGAAAUUGAUGAGAAAGUGAACUCAAUUUAGCAUAUUCGUGGCAAUUCGACUUCACAACUUGUGUCUUUGUCAAUGUUAUUAUCUUAAUUUGUUGCUUUUUAUUUGAUUAUGUAAAUUUCCAGGGUUUAAAAUUCGUAAUAAAUUAUGGCCUCAUAAUUGCAUCACCCUUGAAAUCACAAGAUAAGUUUUUGUUAUUUUUGUAUUAUCUAUAUUUAAAAUUGAAAAAAAAAAUUGAGUUUAAAAUUUUUUAGUCUUGAUUUGAUAAUAAUAUUGAGCUGUUUUGAAUUUUAUUUCUCCUAAAUUAUAUGUAGAUUCUUUUCAAAUUUUAUUUUGAUUUAACCUUUACAUUAGUAGAUUAUUGAAUUGUGAUAAUAGAUGUUGAUAAUGGUAAUAGAAUGAAUGUAAAAUAAGCACACACAAAAAUCACGGGCAGAGUAGAAGAAAUUCACAAAUAUUGAAAAAGGAAUAUACAUACAAGAAGAGUUUCGACUACAUCUAUUUUAAGAUUGAAAAACUCUAUUCUAAUUAAUAUUAAAUAGAAUAAGUGUAGUUUUAUACACAUUCUACUUAUGUGUCCCUUAGCCUCUUGCCCCCACAUGAACAAUUAAAAAAAUCAUUCUAAUUUUAAUUCUAAAACAAUUCUAAUAAAAGGGGAAAAUCUUUGAUAUAUUAUUAAAAUAGUUUUUAAACUUUACAAGUAUAAGUGAAUUUAUAAGUGUCUAAUAUAAAUAUAGUAAAAUAUUAAAAAAUAAAUAUAUUUUUUAAAAAUGUGAUAAAUUAUUAAGAUUUCUUAUGAAAUAAAUAAAAAUACACUAUCAAAACACCCGAUACUAACCCAUAAAAAAUAAUAGAAUAUAAAUCCUUUGAAAAAAAGCAAAAACUUUUACCUAUAUAAUAAGUAAUCAAUCGAAUGUGUGACACAUCAAUUGAAUAAAUGGUCCAAAACUCCAUGAGUGCAUUAAAACUUGUAAGCUAGUUCAUAGAAGUUAUUGAGUGAAAGAAACCCUAAUCCAAACAAAACCCCAAACAUUUAAAUCAACGAAAAUGAAAAUCCAACAAAUAAAAAAAAGAAAAGUCAAUUAAAACGUGUCAGGAAUCACAACCAGCCAACUGUUUUUUAUUUCCCUUUUUACCUUCAGCAAUUCCUCUUUACCUUUUUACAUUUUUUUUAAUUUCCACAAAAUUCUAGCCUAACUCUUCCACACGUGUUCGCCUACGUGUCCUCCCGUCUUUUAAGGCACGAUAAACGUUAAACUCUCGAAUAAAAAUUAAAAAUAAAAUAACAAAAGCACAAAAGCUCCAAAAUCCAUAAUUUUUUUUAAUUGCUUUACAGAAUUUGGGGGAGAUUCUAUAAACAAAGCAAGAAAAAUUGACACGUGUCCUAAAACUUUUAUGACACCUUUUUUUGUAAAUUUUGGUGACGGUUCAUGUACCCUGUUUGGUAGGAUAAGGUCGGCCGUAGAUGUCAGGCACGUGUCGUUACUUAACGGUGAUAAAGUGGGUCCCACUUAGACAAAAGUUAGACAAGGACGACCGUACUUAUCUCUUUUUAGCCACUAUCGAUCUAUCCUCCUUUCUAUUUAAAUACCUUCCCUUUCCCCUAACUCUGAAAAAAAAAGAGAAAAAAAAAACAUUUUUUUACUGUGUUUUAUUUUCUCUUGUACUAAAACUGUUUGGUCGUCGAGAAAAUUUUAGAAUCAUGGGAGUGCCGGAAACUGAUCCAUUGGCUCAAUUGAGCUUGCCGCCGGGGUUUCGGUUUUAUCCAACUGAUGAAGAGCUUUUAGUGCAAUAUUUAUGCAGGAAAGUUGCGGGGCAUCAUUUUUCUCUGCAAAUCAUUGGCGAAAUCGAUUUAUACAAAUUUAAUCCAUGGGAUUUACCAAGUAAGUUUCACCGAGUCCAACGGAAAGAAUGAACUUUGUUUUUUCUUUUUUUUGUUCAUUUCUUUACUAAUAAUAAAAAAUUUAAAUUGUUUUUUGACAGGUAAAGCUUUGUUUGGUGAAAAAGAAUGGUAUUUUUUCAGUCCUAGAGACAGAAAAUAUCCGAACGGGUCACGACCUAAUAGAGUUGCCGGGUCCGGGUACUGGAAAGCUACCGGAACUGAUAAAAUUAUCACAACGGAAGGCCGUAAAGUUGGUAUAAAAAAAGCUCUGGUUUUUUACGUCGGAAAAGCUCCUAAAGGAACUAAAACUAAUUGGAUUAUGCAUGAAUAUCGACUCAUUGAAUCUUCUCGUAAAAGUGGUAGCUCCAAGGUAAUCUAUUUUUUUUUUAAAUUAAUUAUUGAAUAAUAAUUGUUUGAACUUUGAAUAAUAAUUACUUUUUUUUUUGGUUGUAGUUGGAUGAUUGGGUUUUAUGUCGAAUAUACAAGAAGAAUUCAAGUGGUCAAAAACCAUUGUCAAGUGUUUCAAGCAGAGAGCAAAGCACGAAUGGGUCAUCAUCAUCGUGUUCUUCACAACUGGAUGACAUGCUUGACUCAUUGCCCGAGUUGGACGAUCGUUUCUUUGCUUUGCCGCGCAUUAACUCGUUCAAAACGCUUCAAAACGAUGUGAAACUGGGGUUUCAAAAUCUGGGUAUAGGGAAUUUGGAUUGGGGGAGUCUUGGUGGGCUUAGCUCGGUGCCUGAGCUGGUACCGAGUGGACAAACUCAAACACAAACUCAAACUCAGAGUCAGGGGAUUACUAGUUAUGGAAAUAGUAACGUAUAUGUCAGCACAAUGCCGCCUACACUUUGUCAGAUGGACGUGUCGACAAAUAAGAUUGGUAACUCGGUGGAAGAGGAAGUACAGAGUGGACUCAGAACUCAGCGAGCUGAUAACUCGGGGAUAUUUCAACAAAAUUCGAAUGUGUUGAACAGUCAUAACUUCUCUAACUCGAUUGACCCGUAUGGGUUUCGGUGCCCGACUCAAUCGGGUGGAUUUGGGUUUAGACAAUAAAAAAAAAAAUUAUAUGUAGAAGGACCAGGAAAGGAAUUUCAGAAAUUGUGUAAAUAUUUUGAAUUCUUUUGGGCUAACCUUUUGGAAUUAUAGAAACCAAAAGAGUUUAAAAAGAUAGCCAAAAUUUGAAAUUUUGCUCUGUUUUUUAGCAUAAUUAAAAUUAUAAGAUUUAGUUUCAGUUUAUAAUCUAAUUUUUCAUUAAGUUAUGAAAUUUUAAUUUUUUCCAAAAAAUUUAUAAAUCAAAUUUAAUCCUAGUACAUGGUGGAUAAGGAUAAAAUGCCAAAUCAUAGUACAAUGUGGUCGAUUAAAGUUUUCCAUCAACAUUUUAUUAUAAUCAAAAUAUUUCUCCACAAAUUUUGGAAUUUAGAACCAGACCUUUUAUGAUGUAAUCUUAAAUGGUAAUGUGUAAUUUUAUUAUUAUUAAUUUAUAAUUUUAAUUUUAAAUUUUAAUUUGUAGGGAAGAUCUUUAUCUACUUUUUCUUCCUUGAAUUCGAAUUAUUUAAAUCAUCGUUGUACUAAAAUAUAUAAACGUUGUACUAAAAAAUAUAUAAACAUAUAUUUAAAUAUUAAAAUGCAGGUGUGCCAUUUUUAUUUAAAAUUUUAAUACAUUUAUUAAUUUGUAUUGUUUUAUGUUCAUGUAAUUGAUAAGCAAAAGGAGACAUAAUAUGUUUACACGUAUUAAUGAAGCUGUCAAUAAAUUUUUUAUAUUGUUGGGAAAGGUUAAGACUUACUUUCAUUUUAUAUAAAAUAUGUGUGAAUUAAUUUUAAAUUUAUUUUAGAUAUGUAUUCUCAUUGUAUAUGUAUUAAUAAAUAAAUAAUAUUAUGAAUAUAUAUUAUUUGUAAUUAUAAAUAUUAAAAAAAAUGGGGGUGCUUAAUUUAUAUCUCAAAAAUAUCAACGUGGGUGUGUUGAUUAGAAAUUGAAUUUUCAAAAGAUAUAUUUUCCCACAGUUGCAAAGAAACGAGGAAACGGGGAGCCGCACACAAGAUAAGAACAUUAUCACAAGCAAAGGCCUAAAAAGUCCAAAACUAAAAAGUAGAAAAAUGAAAUUGAAAUGAAAGGAGUAGGGUUUUUCAUUCUUAUCAACACUUCAAAGAAAAUAGACAAUAUGAAUGGUUAUUAUUCCACCAUGUGUUAAGCAAUUAUAGGUCCAAACAAGUGAAAUGAUAAGUACUAGGUUGUCUUUCUUUUUUUUGAAAAGAAUUAGGUCUUCAUUGAUUGAAAAUUUAUAUAUUUGAUUUUAGUAAUUAUAAAAUGUUUUUGGUAUAUAUAUAUAUAUUGUGUAUACUAUCAAUCUAGUUUUUAGAUAAAUGUUUUAUUGACCCAUUUUAUAUCAUGGAUCAAAAAAGUUAAAUUUAAAAUCGGUACAGUAUACUCUUUUCUUAAAACAAAAUACUAAGAAAAAUUACAAUAGAACUUGUUGGAUCAUCUGUCAAUUGCUCAACAAAUUACUUCUUUGGAAUGUUUAAAAAAAAAAGAUUUAGAGGAUUAACAAGUGUCUAUAGGAAUAUAGUAAAAUAUUAAAAAAACACAUAAUAAUUUCUUAAAGUUACUUGUGAAAAAAAAAAACACUAGCAGUGUACCAAAGACUAAUAUUUAUAAAUAUAUUAUUUGGUAAAUAUAAUUUUUUUUAAAAGUAAAAUAUCAAAAAAUAAAUAUUAAAUGGAAAUAAAAAGUAAAAAUAUAUAUCUAAAAACAUUCAAAAUAAUAAGAGUAUUGUGAUUUGAUAUUUUAUUUAAAUAAUAAUAUAGUGUUAAGAUAAAAAAAUAAUUUACUCGUUAAAAUUAUUCUGUAUUAAAUGAUAAGUAACCCUUAAUUCAUUUUUUUCAUUUUUAUUAAAAAAGUUAAUUAAAUGAUGUUUAAUAUUUGUUAUCAAAUACAUUAAAAACUUAAACUAUUAAAAAUUGUUGGAGCCAAUUUUGUCUUCCAGUUAUAACGUCAAUUGUAAUUUAAGGCGUAGUUGAAAAUUGGACAAAAUUUACCUUUUGUGAAUUGGUAUAAUUUUUAUCCAAAACUUGGCUUUGUGUCUUGGACUCUGUUAAAUUUAUAUAGUGCUCUGUGAUGCUGAUAUGUGAUGAUAUCAAAUCAAGCUAGGAUUGAAUCAAAUUCUUAAUGUAAUCCAAUUUCCAUUGUUUAGAAGAACAAAUCAUAUUGAGAUUUGAAUAUCAUGGAGAUCUUAGACUUAUCUUUAUCUUAACUAGUGUAAAGAUAAAUUGAAGAUUGUUUUGUAUGGCUACUUACAGGGGAAAUGUGAUUGUUCUUGAUUGUAAAGUAUCAAGCUAAAUGACUUGUAUCUAUGCAUCACUUGUAUUAGGUUAGACAAGAGAUAAAAGAGCACUUCAUUCUGUUCAUUAGGGAACUGUUAUUUUUUUAGUGUAAAAAUUGUAAGUAAACACAAGUGAGUCACUUGGUUGAUAUUUAAACUUUUGGCAGAAAUGACUUAGAAGAGAGUGAUCAUGCUUGGAGUAUAUAGGUGUGAGGUUGCUACUUGAUGAGUUAGUAGGACUUAAAUCACAACUUGUACCUAUUGAAAUAUAGAGGAUUAGUUCUCUAUGUAAAGCCUUGUAGAUAUAGGAGGAUUUUGAAUCGCGUAAACAAGUUCUCUAUGUCCAUCUUCUACACGAUAUUAUCACCAGAGUUAGAAAGAAAAUAAAGAUGAAUUGUGGAGAGGGUACAUUAUUUAAAGUUCCACAAGUUGAAUUUCAUAGUCAAUUAGUUCUAGACCCUACACUUGAUUUGUUGCCAAUUGCAACUAGGCCUGACACUAGCCUAAAAAUGUGUCACAUGUUUGUGCAAAACCACAUGUUGAUUGUAACACCCUUCAACCGACCCGAUCACCAGAUCUGAAUGUGUGAUGUCAUAUUACAUUGCCAAAGCAAUUUAAGCUAACUUGACACAUAUUCAUAAAAUUUAGUUAAUAAUUAUCAUCCACAUCAAUUAAAUCACCCAUACCUUCAUAAUAUAUAGAAUUCUAAUUCAUAAUGUUGAUGAAUUGUUAUUUCUAAGUGCAAAAAUUGUAAGUAAAUAUAAGUGAGUUGCCUGGUUUACAUCUAAGCUUUUAGGGGGAAUUACUACUUGGUGAAUGACAAGGACUUAAAUCAUUAAGGAACUGUUAUUUUUUGGCGGGAUUGGUUAUCUGUAGUUGCCACUUGGUCCAGUUGCACCUUAUGAAAUAUAUGGAUGUAUAUCUAUUUAGAAAAUUUCAACCAACUCUCAAAUAUUUUAAUUUUCAAUGAAUUGAAAAUUUUCAAUUAGUUAUCAAAUAAGCUCAUUUGGGUGCAUUUAGUUCAUGUUAUGUAGCAGUACCUUCCAUAAUCUCACAUUCUAGAUUAAGACAACUUUAUUUGGGUUUGGAACAUCCUCAUUAUUUUGUAAUCUCACAUUCUUAAAUAGUGUCAAGACAUUGAAAUAUUGGGUGUAACUCAAUACCACUCAUUUUUUAAGUUAUCUUAGAUUGCAUAUGUAAUUUAAAAUUUUGGACUAAUUUAUCAUUUAUUUUUAUUAUUUUAAUAUUUUUUGUCUUUUUUUUUUUUCAAAUGAAAUUGAAGUUUAAAAUAAAACAAAAUUCCCUCCUUUUCUUAACAAUGAAACAAUAAAGGUUAAACUUUAAAAUUGUAAUUAUUGUGUAAACAACAUAUGAUGGUAGUAAUUAGGGUAGUAAUUAAGUUUCUUUGUUGAGGCCAGAAUGACUUAGGUUCAAGUUUUGUUGAUGCAAUCCCUCUCUCUUGGGGCAUAGUCAAGGGGGUAGGCAUGGGCUUGACCCCUUGACUCAAUGGUGUUAUUGUAAUUGAAGUUCCUUAAUACAAAAUUAUUUAGCUUUGGACCCCUAAAUUUUUUUUAAUUUUGUCUCCCCCACAUAAUUUCUAGCUUCGCUUCUACUCUCCCCUAAUUUAUGACUUGACUUUGUAAUAUAUAUAUAUAUAUAAAUCUAACACUUUUGAAAUGAUAAAAAGGAAAACAUAAGCAGAUAAAUAUAAAGUUCCUAAGUACGGUUCAAGAUAUGCAUUGAUUUUUUGUUGUCGUUUUCUAAUAUCCUUUUCCUUGCACCUACCACGAUUGUUUAGCCAAUACGGCUGCGAAAGAAAAUCAAUGUUCCUAGCCUCCUUUUAUCCAAAGCAUUAGAAUUAAGCUUUUAAUUAAUUAAAAUAUUUUAUAUAAAUAUUUUACCAAAUCCCAAAAAAACUUAAUAUUUAGUACAAUAAUGGUCUAUGAGUUUAUAAAUCGUUAGUGCUAUUUAAAAAGAAAUUAAAUAAAUUUAAUUUUAAAAUUUCAUAUAUAGAAUUGUACAAAAUUAAAAUUUAUGUAUAUAGUUACACAUUAAAUCAUAAUUUAUGUAUAAUUUUAAGUUUUAUUCUUAAUUUUAUAACAUAAGAAUGAUGUAAAUUACAAAUCAAUCAAUUAGAAAGCUUUUGAGUUUCAAAUGCUGUUGAAAUGUUGCUAUAUUUGAAUAAAUUAAUAAGAUUUAUUAUUAUGUGGAUGGGAGAAAUGAUGCAAGUUUUCUUCACCUUUUUUCCAAUACUCUUUUGUGCAUGUGUGAACAUAUAAUAUAGGAAAAUAAUUUUGAAAAAAAAAGUCAAAUUCAAAUAAUACUAUAUAUAAAAUGAGAACUCGAAAUGAAAUUCCCUAGCUCACAAUUCAUAUAAUGGGGACUUAAAGAGAUUAUAAAGUCAAAAUCAAACAUGUUUAUGUAUACGGCAAUAAGACUUUUUUUUCC
This 14356-nucleotide long non-coding RNA is filed under the name Gossypium barbadense (sea-island cotton). Its description in RNAcentral is "long non-coding RNA (GBAR_LNC000159)". The stretch from base 1249 to 1291 matches the Rfam family "Histone 3' UTR stem-loop". Lineage: Eukaryota; Viridiplantae; Streptophyta; Magnoliopsida; Malvales; Malvaceae. The record is from RNAcentral.